This is a long non-coding RNA of Microplitis demolitor, 510 nucleotides long. RefSeq lists it as uncharacterized. The record is from RefSeq and is a predicted model, not a curated record. NCBI's taxonomy places the organism in Eukaryota, Metazoa, Arthropoda, Insecta, Hymenoptera, Braconidae. The transcript has 3 exons.
AAUACAAGUACUAUAUUUAGAUAAAGCAGAUUUUACAAAAUAGUCUGCAAGUUCAUUAAUAGAUAGCAUAUUCAUACUGAAAAUUGGUUAGAUAAUAAAUUUCUUAGAGAACUUGUAUGAAAAUAGUAAGCAUUCCGAUUUGUUUAUAUAUUGAAGGGAAGUGAAUCUUUUAAUAUUAUUAUUUAUAAUAGUAAUAAACAAUUACAACCGAUGUAAACUCUAAUGAUAUAAUUUUUAUAAUUCUAAAUAUAGUACAAUAAUAUAUUUAAUCAGCAUCUGAGUGAGAAAUUGUACCAUAGUGCUAUUAUUAUAAAAAAAAUUAUCUUGUAACCAAUUAUAAUAAAAAAGUUUAGUACAGUUUUGAUCUCCUCAUAUCUCGAUACAUCAACAAAUGUCAACCAAAUAAAGAGUUUCAACCUACAUACCAACAAAAUUAUUAUUCGGUACGUAAUUACCAAGUAUAAGGUAAGAUCAGGACUGUCAUACUUUUAUGAAAAGCCAAUUAAUUCG